UAAUACGUAGGGUGCGAGCGUUGCCCGGAUUUAUUGGGCGUAAAGGGCGCGCAGGUGGUUCUGUGUGCUCCGUGUGAAAUCGCCGGGCUUAACCCGGCGGGGUCACGGAUGACUACAGGACUGGAGCCUGGGAGGGGGAAGCGGAAUUCCCGGUGUAGUGGUGGAAUGCGUAGAUAUCGGGAGGAACACCAGUGGCGAAGGCGGCUUCCUGGACCAGAGCUGACACUGAGGCGCGAAAGCGUGGGGAGCGAUCCGGAUUAGAUACCCGGGUAGUCCACGCCGUAAACGAUGCAGACUAGGUGUCGGGGGUAUCGACCCCCUCGGCGCCGACGCUAACGCAUUAAGUCUGCCGCCUGGGGACUACGGCCGCAAGGCUA
RNAcentral lists this ribosomal RNA (377 nucleotides) under uncultured bacterium. RNAcentral's name for it is "bacterial SSU rRNA". It matches the Rfam family "Bacterial small subunit ribosomal RNA", at positions 521 to 896 of the family's 1533-position model. The record is from RNAcentral.